RNAcentral lists this ribosomal RNA (253 nucleotides) under uncultured bacterium. RNAcentral describes it as "partial 16S ribosomal RNA". It matches the Rfam family "Bacterial small subunit ribosomal RNA", at positions 524 to 776 of the family's 1533-position model. The record is from RNAcentral.
UACGUAGGGUGCAAGCGUUGUCCGGAAUUAUUGGGCGUAAAGAGCUCGUAGGCGGUUUGUUGCGUCGGCUGUGAAAUCCCGAGGCUCAACCUCGGGUCUGCAGUCGAUACGAGCAAACUAGAGUGUUGCAGGGGAGACUGGAAUUCCUGGUGUAGCGGUGAAAUGCGCAGAUAUCAGGAGGAACACCGAUGGCUAAGGCGGCUCUCUAGUACGGUACUGACGCUGAGACGCGAAAGCGUGGGGAGCGAACAGG